This is a non-coding RNA of Megalops atlanticus (tarpon), 70 nucleotides long. The record is from the annotation of a GenBank genome assembly. NCBI's taxonomy places the organism in Eukaryota, Metazoa, Chordata, Actinopteri, Elopiformes, Megalopidae.
GGCAGUGUAGCAGAUUGGUAAUGAGCAUGGUUUGUAACCAAGUGGUUGCUGGUUCAAUUCCCCAAGGUAC